Small nuclear RNA from Mirounga angustirostris (Northern elephant seal), 104 nucleotides. The record is from RefSeq and is a predicted model, not a curated record. NCBI's taxonomy places the organism in Eukaryota, Metazoa, Chordata, Mammalia, Carnivora, Phocidae.
GUGCCUGCUUCAGCAGCACAUAUACUAAAAUUGGAACCAUUCAGAGAAGAUUGUGGCCCCUGUCCAAAGGCCACACACAGAUUCUUGAAGCAUUCUGUAUUUUG